Molecule: ribosomal RNA, 250 nt
Filed under: uncultured prokaryote
Description: partial 16S ribosomal RNA
Rfam family: Bacterial small subunit ribosomal RNA
Source: RNAcentral
UACGGAGGAUGCGAGCGUUAUCCGGAUUUAUUGGGUUUAAAGGGUGCGCAGGCGGUAGAUUAAGUCUGUGGUGAAAGCGUGCGGCUCAACCGUACCGAGCCAUGGAAACUGGUUUACUUGAGUGUAAACGAGGUAGGCGGAAUGUGACAUGUAGCGGUGAAAUGCUUAGAUAUGUCCCAGAACCCCGAUUGCGAAGGCAGCUUACCAGCAUACAACUGACGCUCAGGCACGAAAGCGUGGGUAUCAAACA